GUUCUGUUGAUAUGAUAUACGAGACGAAGUUAAAAUUGUUUGUCGAAGAUAUUGAUACCAUGCUUCGAGGUAAAGCUUCUAAGUAUAUUGUAUAAGUGACCGUACUGUAAACCGACACUGGUGGGUAGGUAGUGAAUACUAAGGCUAUGAGAUAACUCUGGUGAAGGAACUAGGCAAAAUGACACCGUAACUUUGGAAGACGGUGUGCCAUUGAUGGUGAUGAGACUUGCUCUGUGAGCUGUUGGUGGUUGC
RNAcentral lists this ribosomal RNA (252 nucleotides) under Francisella tularensis subsp. holarctica. RNAcentral's name for it is "partial 23S ribosomal RNA". It matches the Rfam family "Bacterial large subunit ribosomal RNA", at positions 1545 to 1780 of the family's 2925-position model. Lineage: Bacteria; Pseudomonadati; Pseudomonadota; Gammaproteobacteria; Thiotrichales; Francisellaceae. The record is from RNAcentral.